GAUGAAGAACGUAGCGAAAUGCGAUAAGUAAUGUGAAUUGCAGAAUUCAGUGAAUCAUCGAAUCUUUGAACGCACAUUGCGCCCGCCAGUAUUCUGGCGGACAUGCCUGUUCGAGCGUCAUUUCAACCAUCAAGCCCCCGGGCUUGUGUUGGGGACCUGCGGCUGCCCGCAGGCCCUGAAAACCAGUGGCGGGCUCGCUGUCACACCGAGCGUAGUAGCAUCAUCUCGCUCAGGGCGUGCUGCGGGUUCCGGCCGUUAAAAAGCCUCUAAUACCCAAGGUUGACCUCGGAUCAGGUAGGAAGACCCGCUGAACUUAAGCAUAUCAAUAAGCGGAGGA
This 337-nucleotide unclassified non-coding RNA is filed under the name soil metagenome. RNAcentral describes it as "partial contains 5.8S ribosomal RNA, internal transcribed spacer 2, and large subunit ribosomal RNA". The stretch from base 1 to 120 matches the Rfam family "5.8S ribosomal RNA", at positions 35 to 154 of the family's 154-position model. The record is from RNAcentral.